RNAcentral lists this ribosomal RNA (373 nucleotides) under uncultured organism. Its description in RNAcentral is "bacterial SSU rRNA". It matches the Rfam family "Bacterial small subunit ribosomal RNA", at positions 526 to 896 of the family's 1533-position model. The record is from RNAcentral.
CGUAGGGGGCAAGCGGUUGUCCGGAAUUAUUGGGCGUAAAGGGCGCGUAGGCGGGUAUUUAAGUCUGGUGUGAAAGAUCAGGGCUCAACCCUGAGAGUGCAUCGGAAACUGGGUAUCUUGAGGACAGGAGAGGAAAGUGGAAUUCCACGUGUAGCGGUGAAAUGCGUAGAUAUGUGGAGGAACACCAGUGGCGAAGGCGACUUUCUGGACUGUAACUGACGCUGAGGCGCGAAAGCGUGGGGAGCAAACAGGAUUAGAUACCCUGGUAGUCCACGCCGUAAACGAUGAGUGCUAGGUGUAGAGGGUAUCGACCCCUUCUGUGCCGCAGUUAACACAAUAAGCACUCCGCCUGGGGAGUACGGCCGCAAGGUUG